RNAcentral lists this long non-coding RNA (297 nucleotides) under Elaeis guineensis (African oil palm). RNAcentral describes it as "long non-coding RNA (EGUI_LNC068755)". Lineage: Eukaryota; Viridiplantae; Streptophyta; Magnoliopsida; Arecales; Arecaceae. The record is from RNAcentral.
CCCCCGAUCUUCUGUCGGUAGCCCCGCAUUUGAAAAUAUAGAGAAAUUAGAGCUCGACUGUGCUUGGGAGGGUUCCACUGGAGGAACCUCAGCCCAAACCUCAGUUGGUGGAGCUACCGAUGGUGCUACGAUAACUUCAUCUUCUUUUGCCACCCCACCCUCAACGGACGGCACUUUAGGAAGUGCUGUCGAGGCCGACAGUGCCAAAAUUGGCUCAAAAAUCGAUACCGAUGGUACAUCAUAUUUUUUUAUCGAUAAAGUAGGAGCCUGACCCUUCUACGAUGGUUGGAAGGGUCC